CCCGCUGAACUUAAGCAUAUCAAUAAGGCGAGGAACAGAAACCAACAGGGAUUCCCCUAGUAGUGGCGAAUGAAGCGGGAAAAGCUCAAGUUUGAAAUCUGGUGGCUUGUCCUUCAGAGUUGUAAGCUGAAGAGGCUGUGACCGACGCAGGCCGGGUCCAAUUUCCUUGGAACAGGGAGUCAUGGAGGGUGAGAACCCCGUGUGUGAUCCGGAACCUGUCGUCCUAGCGUCGCUACCUCGAAGAGUCGGGUUGUUUGGGAAUGCAGCUCAAAAUGGGUGGUAAAUCUCAUCUAAAGCUAAAUACUGGUGAGAGACCGAUAGCAAACAAGUAGAGUGAUCGAAAGAUGAAAAGCACUUUGGAAAGAGAGUGAAACAGUACGUGAAAUUGUUGAAAGGGAAACGCUUGAAGUCAGUCGCGUCGUCCGAGACUCAGCCUCGCCUCGGCUUGGUGUACUUCUCGGAUGACGGGUCAGCAUCAAUUUUGCCCCUUGGAUAAUGGCGAGGGAAAUGUGACACCUUUGCGGGUGUGUUAUAGUCUCUAGUCGCAUGCAAGGGUCGGGAUUGAGGAACUCAGCACGCGCCUUUGGGCGUCGGGGUUCGCCCACGAUACGUGCUUAGGAUGUUGGCGUAAUGGCUUUAAACGACCCGUCUUGAAACACGG
This 661-nucleotide ribosomal RNA is filed under the name uncultured fungus. RNAcentral's name for it is "eukaryotic LSU rRNA". It matches the Rfam family "Eukaryotic large subunit ribosomal RNA", at positions 24 to 664 of the family's 3401-position model. The record is from RNAcentral. Lineage: Eukaryota; Fungi.